RNAcentral lists this ribosomal RNA (813 nucleotides) under Triticum aestivum (bread wheat). RNAcentral's name for it is "partial small subunit ribosomal RNA". Lineage: Eukaryota; Viridiplantae; Streptophyta; Magnoliopsida; Poales; Poaceae. The record is from RNAcentral.
AUGAAAACUCUGCCAUCCACCUGCAGCCAGCAUCCCGGCCGCCAACCUGCCUCCCGCCUCGGGCGGACCUGCCUCUCCCUGUCCCUCGCUUCCCCAAUUCCUAGUGGUCCAAACCCCAGACCCUCACGCCCGCCGCCAGAAACCAGCCGCCACCUGACUUCAAAUCCUCCAGGGCCCCGAGCGCCACCGCCUGACUUCAAAUCCUCCACGCAUCGCCGCCUGACUCCAGAGCCCUGCCGCACGCACUUCGACCGCGCGCCCGAGUGGACCACCGCCGAGGCCCUUGCGCUCGUCACCGCCGUGGACGACGACGGCUGGGCCCGCUCCGUCUCCGCCUUCCAGAAGUGGGCCAUCGUCACGGAGAACAUCGCCAUCUCCGAGGCCAGAGGGUCACCCUCGAGGCGCAGGGGGAGGGAGGCCGGCGAGUGCAGGCAGAAGUGGGAGGCACUCGUGGCUGAGUACGGGGCUGUGCCGCGCAGGGAGGCACAGACCGAUGGGAGGUACUGGCGCAUGGGCGCCGCGUCCAGGAGGAAGACCGGGCUCCCUGCAGAGUUCGAGGCCGAGGUGUAUGGCAUCAUGGACGCGCUGAUCCGGGUCGAUGAGGCGCUCCCUGGCGGCUCUCGGGUCGAUGCUGCAGUUGAAGAAGAGGAGGAGAAUAAUGCUGUGGAAGAGGCGGAUGAUGACGGGAGUGAGGAGGAGAUGCAGGUGGAUCAUGGAAAUGUGAAUGCUUCUGAUGAUUUGGUCUGUAGGAUUUCACAUAUUACCCGGUACGUCGAGGGAAAAGGCUAUGCCAAGACUGUAAGAGGGAUGUGA